CUGCUUGAGACGAAUCAGAUCAUAUCAUAAACGAAAGCAACAACUUUUCUCCUAUUUUCACGAACAAAAUAUGGCAAAUGCUGGUAGCAGCAGUAGCAGUAUGGUCAGAGAGCUGCACUUUGUUAACUGGUUAGUGAAUUCUGAUUUAAAUGAGAAUCCCUCUGACAACACUGAUGAGGAUGAUAUCGAUGAAAGUGGACUGAAGAUGUGCGAUGAAUUGGAUUCAGACCUGCACGACCCUGAGGAACAGUACCAUCUACCCCGGAGCAGCCCUGUCAUAUCCCGCAAGAGACAUAACACAGAGACAGAAAAACCAUCUGAUCUGUCUUUGACACCUCCAAUAUGGGAACUAUCCAUCUCUCCAAUGACGAAAUCCAACGAUUCAAGUGCACAUAGAUUCAGUCGUGUAGAGAAAGAGAGAGACCUUGAUCACAAUGAUUCACCCAAGGGCUCUUCAGGACAGACACAGUUCCUCGCAGGUAAUCAUGGCCGAGGAAUUUCACGUGUCUCUCAGGACACUCAGCUUCACAGCCAGUCUUUAGUGUCUGGACGGUUACAUGAGGGUUUCCGGUCAAAGACUAAAAGAAGAGCCUGCUCUGACAUCCCACUAGCAUCUAGGCAGAGGAGCUCAGACCAAGCUAAGAAAUGUGGAUCAUGUGUUGAUGUACACGCCACUGAAGACAUCUACAGUCUGGACAAGGAAAAUGCUCAUUUUGUAGUUGUGGAUAUGGUGCUGGAAGUUCUGGAGGCUGUGAAAUGGGUUGUGUGUCUGCAGCAGUUAAAAAACACACAUCCACAUCAAGACAGAUGUGAAACACACAAUACUUCAAAAACAGACUCAAUCUCUUCCUUUGACAGCGGGUUUGAGGAUGACAGCGCCUCCCAACUGUCUUCAAACAGACACUCCCUGGCUUCAUUUCAGAGUUGUCUCCAGAGCUAUAGAAUGCAGUGGUCUGCUGAAGAUUUAGCCCACAAUUUGGUGUCAGAGUUCAGGAAGCAGUGGUUCCCCUCUGAGCUACUGCAAAACCCUGUCAACCUCAACUCUGCUCUGCAGGAAGUCGCUUUGGUAGAGGACAGGAUCAGUCUAACUGAAGAGAUCAUGCAGAAGACCAGAAUGAGAGGAACAUUAACCUGGGCUCCACCCAGAUUUCAAAUCAUCUUCUGUGUCCAGCCAACACACAGACGCAGUGAUGUCAUCACUUCCCAGUACUUCCUGUGCGCAGGUUGUGGUACUGAAGUCGAGCCCAGGUAUAUGAAGAAAUUGCGGUAUUGUGACUACCUGGGAAGAUACUUUUGUGAUGGCUGCCACGGUGGUUUAGAAUCAGUGAUUCCAGGUCGGGUUCUGAAUAACUGGGAUUUUGCACGGUAUCCGGUCUGCCAUUUUUCCAGACAGUUACUGGACUCUAUAUGGCAGCAACCGCUUUUCAAACUUACAAGUGUGGCCAAAAACCUGUACAGCCAGGCCAAAGAGCUACAGCGUUUCAGAGAACUACAGGAGCAACUAAUAUCCAUCAAAAAGCUUCUGAGUACAUGCAGACUAUCAGCUGGAGUCCUUGACGAGUUUGAACAACUUCCUGCUCACCUGAUGCAGGAACUCCACCUCUUUUCAAUGGAUGAACUCAUCAGGGUGAAAAAGGGUCAGCUCUGUACCAUUGCAAAAGCCUUGCUGCAGUCUGCAGUUGCUCACAUAGACCUUUGUGAGUCACCAUCUCUCUUACAAUCUUCAGCUGUGUCAGGCCAAAGGUUUUAUCUGUGAGUUCUGUCAUGGGAAAGAAGUGCUUUUCCCUUUUCAGAGAGACACCUGCACACGCUGCCAAGAUUGCAGAGCCUGUUUCCACAUCUCAUGUGUCCGUGAUGAAUCGUGUCCCAAAUGUGCCAGACUCCAGAAACGAAAGAAAAUCCAGGAAGAGAUCAGUUUAUGAAAUCUACAUGUCCCUUGCUGCAUUUAAAGCUGCAUGCAAACAUUUUCCGGUCUUCAGACUUCUUGAACUGUUCAAAAUGCCUACUUGAAAGACUACUGACAU
Molecule: RNA transcript, 2024 nt
Organism: Rhinichthys klamathensis goyatoka
Lineage: Eukaryota; Metazoa; Chordata; Actinopteri; Cypriniformes; Leuciscidae
Gene: rubcnl
Gene name: rubicon like autophagy enhancer
Exons: 12
Source: RefSeq, a predicted model, not a curated record